RNAcentral lists this ribosomal RNA (453 nucleotides) under uncultured Arcobacter sp. RNAcentral describes it as "bacterial SSU rRNA". It matches the Rfam family "Bacterial small subunit ribosomal RNA", at positions 111 to 584 of the family's 1533-position model. Lineage: Bacteria; Pseudomonadati; Campylobacterota; Epsilonproteobacteria; Campylobacterales; Arcobacteraceae. The record is from RNAcentral.
UAAUAUAUAGGUAACGUGCCCUAGAGAAGAGGAUAACAUUUGGAAACGAAUGCUAAUACUCUAUAUGCCUUUAAGACUUAAGUCUGCAAGGGAAAUAUUUAUAGCUCUAGGAUCGGCCUGUACGGUAUCAGCUUGUUGGUGAGGUAAUGGCUCACCAAGGCAAUGACACCUAACUGGUUUGAGAGGAUGAUCAGUCACACUGGAACUGAGACACGGUCCAGACUCCUACGGGAGGCAGCAGUGGGGAAUAUUGCACAAUGGACGAAAGUCUGAUGCAGCAACGCCGCGUGGAGGAUGACACAUUUCGGUGCGUAAACUCCUUUUAUAUAGGAAGAUAAUGACGGUACUAUAUGAAUAAGCGCCGGCUAACUCCGUGCCAGCAGCCGCGGUUAUACGGAGGGCGCUAGCGUUACUCGGAAUCACUGGGCGUAAAGAGCGUGUAGGCGGGUUAAU